GGAAGUUUGCAAUACACAGCAUAGCAUAUGUUUUUAGUGCAAUCUGUUGUCAAAAUACGGUGCCAAAUUCUGUGCGCAUUUGAAUGUGCUUAACCACAACUACUAAGAUGAAUUGUAUGCUUCUGGGGACAAUUUCCACUUCCAACAAGACAUGUUUUAUUUUACAUAUUAUAAGAUCUAUUGCUUAACUUACCUUGUCUGUAUCUACCAGUCUGUGCAGCCCUGCAGCCCAGCUGGGAUAGCAUUGCCAGCACUAGUUACAGGCCACAGGCUCUGUGCUGCCUUGGUAAGGCCUCAGGAGUGAGGAAUGUCAGGCUUUGUUUGAACUUCUUUUGGCCAGCCUGGAGCUUUCUUUUAGCUUGUUCAGUUGUACAGGAAUUUUCCUAGUAACCAGUGGGCUAUGCCUGGCUUACAUGGCUUCUACUUCUCUUUUUAAUUAAAAAUGAAGUGUAGAUGAAUGCGGGCAUGGUGUAACUGCAGGGGCCUCAAAAAUGGAGAUGGAGGACACAGUAUAAGGGAUUACAUACAAGGGAUGAGAAGAAAAAGGGCAGAGGAUUACAGCAGAGACCAAGUGGGAGCUACUGCCCUCAGUGCGAAGAUGACAGAACCCACCACGCACUACCUGAAGGUGCUUCUUUAUCACAUCAUCAGCCUUUUAAAGGUCAGAACAAAAGGCAGAGAACCGGCAGUCCUGUGGACACUGGACAUUGGUAACUGGGCCAUAAAAUUUCUGCUGUCUCAAGCAAUCCAGUAAUUAACUGUACAGCUGAAAUGAGUGUCUCACCUUCAGCCCUUAUCACCAGGAAAACAGCAUAGUGCAAAUGCAAGAUGAGAGUGAAUCUAGUCUGGAGUUGAAACUGCGUUCUUGGUGAGGUCCGCUGUAACCUCUUACUCAGGAAUGUUGCCACUACCACUGCUGAGGACACAGUACGCUAACCUGAGUAUAACAAAAGAAGGCUUUGUGAUU
RNAcentral lists this long non-coding RNA (967 nucleotides) under Numida meleagris (helmeted guineafowl). Its description in RNAcentral is "lncRNA (ENSNMEG00000020656.1)". The record is from RNAcentral. Lineage: Eukaryota; Metazoa; Chordata; Aves; Galliformes; Numididae.